GGGGAAUUUUGGACAAUGGGCGCAAGCCUGAUCCAGCCAUGCCGCGUGCAGGAUGAAGGCCUUCGGGUUGUAAACUGCUUUUGUACGGAACGAAAAGACUCUGGUUAAUACCUGGGGUCCAUGACGGUACCGUAAGAACAAGCACCGGCUAACUACGUGCCAGCAGCUGCGGUAAUACGUAGGGUGCGAGCGUUAAUCGGAAUUACUGGGCGUAAAGCGUGCGCAGGCGGUUAUAUAAGACAGAUGUGAAAUCCCCGGGCUCAACCUGGGAACUGCAUUGGUGGCUGUAUAGCUAGAGUACGGCAGAGGGGGAUGGAAUUCCGCGUGUAGCAGUGAGAUGCGAAGAUAUGAGGAGGAACACCGAUGGCGAAGGCAAUCCCCUGGGCCUGUACUGACGCUCAUGCACGAAAGCGUGGGGAGCAAAC
This 425-nucleotide ribosomal RNA is filed under the name uncultured bacterium. Its description in RNAcentral is "bacterial SSU rRNA". It matches the Rfam family "Bacterial small subunit ribosomal RNA", at positions 356 to 773 of the family's 1533-position model. The record is from RNAcentral.